This 211-nucleotide long non-coding RNA is filed under the name Mytilus galloprovincialis (Mediterranean mussel). The record is from RNAcentral. Lineage: Eukaryota; Metazoa; Mollusca; Bivalvia; Mytilida; Mytilidae.
CUUUCAUUCGAAUAAUUAAAGAACACAUUUAACAUGUCUAAAUAGUCAUCAAAGGUACCAGGAUUAUAAUUUUUAAAAUACGCCAGACGCGCGUUUCGUCUACAUUAAACUCACCAGUGACGCUCAGGUCAAAAUAGUUUGAAAGCCAAACAAGUACAAAGUUUAAGAGCAUUGAGUACCCACAGUUCAAAAGAAUUGUGCCAAAUACGGC